CAUGUCCUUAGAGUUAUAUUUAAGGUCUAACCUGCCCACUGAAUUAUUUUAAUGGCCGCAGUAAUUUGACUGUGCAAAGGUAGCAUAAUCAUUAGUUUUUUAAUUAAAAGCUUGUAUGAAGGGUUGGACGAGGUAAAAUCUGUCUCUAAUUAAUUUAAUUUAGAAUUUAACUUUUAAGUCAAAAGGCUUAAAUUUAAUUAAAAGACGAGAAGACCCUAUAGAUCUUUAUAAUUUAAUUUUUAAAUUUAAUUAAGAAUUUUUACAAUUUUAUUAAUUAAAUUAUUUUAUUGGGGUAAUAUAAAGAUUAAAUAAAUUCUUUAUUUUUAUUAACAUUAAUUUAUGGUUUUUUGAUCCAAUUUUAUUGAUUAUAAGAUUAAGUUACCUUAGGGAUAACAGCGUAAUUUUUUUAGAGAGUUCUUAUCGAUAAAAAAGUUUGCGACCUCGAUGUUGGAUUAAAGAUUACUUUAGGCGCAGAAGUUUAAAAAUUUUGGUCUGUUCGACCAUUAAAUCUUUACAUGAUCUGAGUUCAGACCGGCGUAAGCCAGGUCGGUUUCUAUCUUUAAUAAAUUAAAAUAUUUUAGUACGAAAGGACCAAUUAUUUAAUAUAGUAUAUUUAAAAUUUGAUUGUUAUUAA
RNAcentral lists this ribosomal RNA (634 nucleotides) under Nebria pertinax. RNAcentral describes it as "partial large subunit ribosomal RNA". It matches the Rfam family "Bacterial large subunit ribosomal RNA", at positions 1827 to 2734 of the family's 2925-position model. Lineage: Eukaryota; Metazoa; Arthropoda; Insecta; Coleoptera; Carabidae. The record is from RNAcentral.